UCCCUGGUGGUUCAGUGGCCAAGAUCCUGGGCUCCCAAUGCAGGGGGCCUGGGUUUGAUCCCUGGCCAGGGAA
RNAcentral lists this transfer RNA (73 nucleotides) under Capra hircus (goat). It matches the Rfam family "tRNA". Rfam says of the family: Transfer RNA (tRNA) molecules are approximately 80 nucleotides in length. Their secondary structure includes four short double-helical elements and three loops (D, anti-codon, and T loops). Lineage: Eukaryota; Metazoa; Chordata; Mammalia; Artiodactyla; Bovidae. The record is from Rfam by way of RNAcentral. RNAcentral also lists the same sequence under 1 other name.